UACGGGGGGAGCAAGCGUUGUUCGGAUUUACUGGGCGUAAAGGGCGCGUAGGCGGCCACCGCAAGUCGACUGUGAAAUCUCCGGGCUUAACCCGGAAAGGUCAGCCGAUACUGCGGGGCUAGAGUGCAGAAGGGGCAACUGGAAUUCUCGGUGUAGCGGUGAAAUGCGUAGAUAUCGAGAGGAACACCUGCGGCGAAGGCGGGUUGCUGGGCUGACACGUGACGCUGAGGCGCGAAAGCGUGGGUAGCAAACAGG
This 255-nucleotide ribosomal RNA is filed under the name uncultured bacterium. RNAcentral describes it as "partial 16S ribosomal RNA". It matches the Rfam family "Bacterial small subunit ribosomal RNA", at positions 524 to 776 of the family's 1533-position model. The record is from RNAcentral.